This 468-nucleotide ribosomal RNA is filed under the name uncultured bacterium. RNAcentral's name for it is "partial 16S ribosomal RNA". It matches the Rfam family "Bacterial small subunit ribosomal RNA", at positions 28 to 507 of the family's 1533-position model. The record is from RNAcentral.
GACGAACGCUGGCGGCGUGCUUAACACAUGCAAGUCGAACGGAAAGGCCCUGCUUUUGUGGGGUGCUCGAGUGGCGAACGGGUGAGUAACACGUGAGUAACCUGCCCUUGACUUUGUGAUAACUUCAGGAAACUGGGGCUACUACCGGAUAGGAGCUCCUGCUGCAUGGUGGGGGUUGGAAAGUUUCGGCGGUUGGGGAUGGACUCGCGGCUUAUCAGCUUGUUGGUGGGGUAGUGGCUUACCAAGGCUUUGACGGGUAGCCGGCCUGAGAGGUUGACCGGCCACAAUGGGACUGAGAUACGGCCCAGACUCCUACGGGAGGCAGCAGUGGGGAAUAUUGCACAAUGGGCGGAAGUCUGAUGCAGCAACGCCGCGUGCGGGAUGACGGCCUUCGGGUUGUAAACCGCUUUAGCCUGUGACGAAGCGUGAGUGACGGUAAUGGGUAAAGAAGCACCGGCUAACUACGUG